CGGGGUAUAGCUCAGUAGGUAGAGCGGCGGACUUUUAAUCCGUUGGCCGCUGGUUCGAGCCCAGCUGCCCCGACCA
This 76-nucleotide transfer RNA is filed under the name Aeromonas sp. MrichA-1. RNAcentral describes it as "tRNA-Lys". It matches the Rfam family "tRNA". Rfam says of the family: Transfer RNA (tRNA) molecules are approximately 80 nucleotides in length. Their secondary structure includes four short double-helical elements and three loops (D, anti-codon, and T loops). The record is from RNAcentral. Lineage: Bacteria; Pseudomonadati; Pseudomonadota; Gammaproteobacteria; Aeromonadales; Aeromonadaceae.